RNAcentral lists this long non-coding RNA (910 nucleotides) under Macaca mulatta (Rhesus monkey). RNAcentral's name for it is "lncRNA (ENSMMUG00000058557.1)". Lineage: Eukaryota; Metazoa; Chordata; Mammalia; Primates; Cercopithecidae. The record is from RNAcentral.
AUCAGGAGAUCUAUAUUAGGUCAGUUCACUCAACCCUGGUUUUCCUAUUUCAGCUUCCCUUGCAACUCCGUCAGUGGAAGCCAAGUUGGGGUAGACAUGGCACAAGGACAGCAAGGAAGAAAGAAAAAAAUGCAUCCCCUUUUUUGUUGUUAUUUUCUCAACAGUCUCUGGAAGAAAAGAAAAAGAAGAUCCAUCACCUUCCUUGCCACUUCAGCUGUGUCAGUUCAAAUGACUUCCCAAACAGUCUCUGGAACGCCAACUGUAAAAGAUGGAUUUAUUUGCUCAGUCUCCUUACUCAAGCAUGUAUCUUGGAUGGGUAUGCAGUCAGUCCUUUUUUUUUUUUUUUUUUUUUAAAUGCACAACUUUUAAGAUACAGUUAGCUCUGCUAUGAUAACUCAAAUUUGCUCCAAAAUGAUAGGUAAGAGAUAAUUGAAGCAUAACAUUAAUUUUGCAUUGGACUACAUGCAAUUUUCUCCACUAGAAACACAAGGUGAGUGCAAAAAAAAAAAAAAAAAAAUGCACCCAGUUGAAUGAAGCUAUGUGGGAGUAAACUAAACACAUAUAUGCACAUCUUAAAUAUGUACCAGUUACCUCUGUUUAUUAGUUAUUUGUGAGACACUCAUCCAUAUCUGUUCUUACAAUUUUCCCUCCUAUUUCAGAUAACCCUGCUUCCACCAUUGCAUACUAACUCACUAGCUAAAAACUGUCUUAUGCUCAUUCCUACAAGUAAAAUUCAGUGACAUAUAUAUUGUAGUAUUUAUGCACUUUUAAAUGAUUAACCUAUUUAAAAAUGCACUACUUCGUGUUACAGCAGCACUGACCGUAAUACCAAGAAUAAAAUAAACUCAAACUAUUGCAUGCUAUAAUAUAUAAUAUAUUCUCAGUUUUCACAGCAUAAAAAAUGUUGGAA